GUGUGUUGGGCUGGGGACUCCUCCUGAGUGCUGGAGCCUGUCUGCCUGCCCAGCCCAUGGAGUUCUUGUGCAGGCCUUGGAGGGGCCCCACGAAGGGCAGCUCCAGGGACUGGAAUGGCUGGGCCACGUUCUUCCGGGCCUGGGGAGGAAGGUUUUGUUUCACUUUCGAUGGAGGGGAUGGCUCUAGAGAGAGGCCUGUUUCUUCAUUUGCAGGCAGGCUGAGCCUGGAGGUGCUGCAGUGAGGAUUUGACCAUGACCUGGUUCCCGAAGCACCUGGACUGGAGCAGAAAGGACAAUGGUAAAGGACUGCAGAUGCCCCUGGGGAUCCCCAUCGCAACUGGAGUCCUGGCUCUCCUCGCUCUCCUCGCUUUGGCCUGUCAUUGCGUCAAAGAGGUCCUUCCUCCUGCCCCUGCGCCCCUGCCCCAGGCCCCUUGCUCGCCAUCUUCCCUCCUCAUGACCCUCUCUGCUUCUAGGCCUGGAAGUCCAAGUGGAAGCCUCGCUGGAGGUGCUGGAGGCGCCCUUGCUCUGAUCUGCAGCUUGUCUCCAUACACUGCCCACAUGAGGGACAUCUGGGAACCCCUUCUGCAGAGCCUAGUGCCUCCCGGGUGCUUUCCCCAGUGUGCCCCUGAGGACUCGAGUGAGGGGCCCUCUGCUUGGAGAUGAGGAGUCCCCACUGCCGGUGCUCCAGAGAAGACUGGAGAAGUUUCCUAGGAUCUAGUGAGGAGUCAAAGACUAUCUGUUAACGUGACUGAGCGACUGAAUGGAUCCCGAGGCGGGGGCACUGUGGAUGCAGACAGGUAUUGGGAGGGCCUCCCUGGGCCUGCACAAGAAUGCCAUGGCUCGGCAGGUGGACAGACUCCAGCACUCAGGCGUCCCCAGCAUGCAGCAGAGCAAGUUCCAGAAAGUCACGUGGAUCCCCAAAAGGCAGCGUCUUCCUGGGGGGGGGGGCACUGGCAGAUGUGUUCCUCCCCUGGUCUGUGGUGUUGACUCUGCCUGGGCACCUGAAGUAGCAGAGGUUCCAUGAUCCAUCCUUCACUGGGGGAAAUGGGGUGACCCAAAGGAGAGCCGGGGGCUGGGCGAUGGAGGCCUGUAGCCUCGAGGUUUGCUGGAGAGGGCAGAGUGAAGCCUGGACCUGGCCUUCCCCCCCAGAGGACCUACCUAUCCUUGUCCAAGCAGAGCUGUCGAAUAGGUGGCACCUUUCCAGGGCCACAAGAAGGGCCACUCCACCCCCACCCAGGCAGCUCCAGAACCUUCCUGCUCAGCUUAGGAAGUGCCGGUGAGGCUAGGGCCCACUGGAGUAUGUCUGGGAUCCCUGGCUGACGGGAGCGAAGCCACUGGAACCUUCCAGGCCGGGGUACUCCCGCAGAUCCGUGCUCAUCUUCCUGGAUUGGGAGCUGCCUGGACUCCUGAGGCCCAGUGCCCAGAGCUGUGUGAUGGCCUUUCCUGGGAGGAAAAAUGUCAGAGAGGGAAAAUUUAGGAAGGGCAGUCGAUCAGGGGUGGUGGCAGGCGGAAUUCUAAGAUGGCCCCGAGAUUACUGCCUCUCAAUGUCCACAGGAUCCAUGAGCUGCCUCUGAAGUGCGUUUGGACCUGUGAAUACGCCAGAUGUCUGUCCUCUGGCUGGGUCGUUAUGUGGCAGCCAUGAAGGGAUUUUUGUAAGGAAGUUAAGGUCUCUAAUCGGUUGUCUUUGAUUUCCUCAAAAGGGAGAUGGGGCCAGACAUAGCCGUACACUCCUGUAGUCUUAGCUUAGGAGCCUGGGUCGUUGGAGCCCUGGAGUUCAAGGCCAGUCUGGGCAGCAUAAUGAGGUCCUCUUUGUGUUCCCCCCGUAAAAAGGAAGGGGGACAGGCGGUGGGCCUGA
Non-coding RNA from Castor canadensis (American beaver), 1855 nucleotides. The record is from RefSeq and is a predicted model, not a curated record. Lineage: Eukaryota; Metazoa; Chordata; Mammalia; Rodentia; Castoridae.